UCCCAAAAUGAUCUGCAAUGAAUCCGUACUUUCUGAAUCCACUCCCUUGGCUUUUUAUAAACGUUCAAGCUUGCUCUCCAAGCUUUGGGAGACGUGGAUUGAAGUGGUGGCUAAGUUGAUGUGUGGUUUGUUGAGAGUGGUUAGGUUUUCCACAAAAGUAGGAACAACGUUAAUCACCCCAUUCUUCCUUCUCCACGUCUGCUCUUAUCAUAUCUCAGCCUUGCACUUUCUCUUCCUUGAUUUUAGGAUCCACCAACAAACAUUAAACCUUAUGCAAAAACAAAAACGUGAAGAAUGGCAAAACACAAAACAAAAAUCCCUAUAAAGUAGGUUAGUUAAAAUGGAGUUGAAAA
RNAcentral lists this long non-coding RNA (353 nucleotides) under Salvia miltiorrhiza (redroot sage). Its description in RNAcentral is "long non-coding RNA (SMIL_LNC012000)". Lineage: Eukaryota; Viridiplantae; Streptophyta; Magnoliopsida; Lamiales; Lamiaceae. The record is from RNAcentral.